RNAcentral lists this ribosomal RNA (451 nucleotides) under Streptococcus gordonii. RNAcentral's name for it is "bacterial SSU rRNA". It matches the Rfam family "Bacterial small subunit ribosomal RNA", at positions 28 to 461 of the family's 1533-position model. Lineage: Bacteria; Bacillati; Bacillota; Bacilli; Lactobacillales; Streptococcaceae. The record is from RNAcentral.
GACGAACGCUGGCGGCGUGCCUAAUACAUGCAAGUAGAACGCACAGUUUAUACCGUAGCUUGCUACACCAUAGACUGUGAGUUGCGAACGGGUGAGUAACGCGUAGGUAACCUGCCUGGUAGCGGGGGAUAACUAUUGGAAACGAUAGCUAAUACCGCAUAAUAUUAAUUAUUGCAUGAUAAUUAAUUGAAAGGUGCAAUUGCACCACUACCAGAUGGACCUGCGUUGUAUUAGCUAGUAGGUGAGGUAACGGCUCACCUAGGCGACGAUACAUAGCCGACCUGAGAGGGUGAUCGGCCACACUGGGACUGAGACACGGCCCAGACUCCUACGGGAGGCAGCAGUAGGGAAUCUUCGGCAAUGGACGAAAGUCUGACCGAGCAACGCCGCGUGAGUGAAGAAGGUUUUCGGAUCGUAAAGCUCUGUUGUAAGAGAAGAACGGGUGUGAGAG